GAUGAACGCUGGCGGCGUGCCUAAUACAUGCAAGUCGAGCGAACAGACGAGGAGCUUGCUCCUCUGACGUUAGCGGCGGACGGGUGAGUAACACGUGGAUAACCUACCUAUAAGACUGGGAUAACUUCGGGAAACCGGAGCUAAUACCGGAUAAUAUAUUGCACCGCAUGGUUCAAUAGUGAAAGACGGUUUUGCUGUCACUUAUAGAUGGAUCCGCGCCGCAUUAGCUAGUUGGUAAGGUAACGGCUUACCAAGGCAACGAUGCGUAGCCGACCUGAGAGGGUGAUCGGCCACACUGGAACUGAGACACGGUCCAGACUCCUACGGGAGGCAGCAGUAGGGAAUCUUACGCAAUGGGCGAAAGCUUGACGGAGCAACGCCGCGUGAGUGAUGAAGGUCUUCGGAUCGUAAAACUCUGUUAUGAGGGAAGAACAAAUGUGUAAGUAACUAUGCACGUCUUGACGGUACCUAAUCAGAAAGCCACGGCUAACUACGUG
Molecule: ribosomal RNA, 497 nt
Filed under: uncultured bacterium
Lineage: Bacteria
Description: partial 16S ribosomal RNA
Rfam family: Bacterial small subunit ribosomal RNA
Source: RNAcentral